RNAcentral lists this long non-coding RNA (765 nucleotides) under Setaria viridis. RNAcentral's name for it is "long non-coding RNA (SVIR_LNC010806)". The record is from RNAcentral. Lineage: Eukaryota; Viridiplantae; Streptophyta; Magnoliopsida; Poales; Poaceae.
UCCAGUCCACGCCCGAGGGGAAUAUCCGUCUCGUGGACCCGAGUGAGUCCGACCCCCGCGCCCAGGGUCGGGCGAGACGGAGUUUCUGUGGUGGGGGUCGGGCGCUCCCGACCCCAGUUCCCUGGGUUGGGCGAGACGGAACUUUGCGGCGAGGGGUCGGGCGCUCCCGACCCUGGGACCGCGGUCGGGCGAGGCGGAGUCCCUCCAUCGAGGGGUCGGGAUUGUCCGACCCCGGGGCCCUGGGUCGGGCGAGACGGAGUGGGAUGCUCUCUGCCUUCACUUGGCCGGAUGUAAUCAUAAUUACCGCAGGUGGGCCUGGGCCUUCAUGACUGUUGCUUUAAGCGGUAUUAGGAGGUCGUUAAUAUUUUCCCCCGACAGUAGCCCCCGAGCCUGUGGUGGAGCAAAGGUGCUCCUCCAGAGGCUUUUUUCAUUGCUCGUCGGGGAUCUCUGCUCGCCCUGCAAGCUGCGGUCGAUCAGGGGUAGGGAGUGUUGUUGGUCCGGCUUGGCCAGUGAGUUCGAUCAGGAGAGGCAUCCUGUGGAUGACUUGUUGCGGGAGGACUCCUCAUUUCUCCAUAGGGCGCUCCCGCCUCGAGUCCUCAAAUCGCGACCACACGCGUGGUCACUGGUUGCGACGCUAGCCCCCGAGCCCCCGCGCGUUGCAGGAGACCGAUCGGGAGGCUAGAUCGGCUUUUGAUCGUUACCCCUCAAGCGUCCAUUCGCUGGGACAGAGGGGAUGAGCCGUGCCACGCUAUCCUCGUUGGACGA